Molecule: ribosomal RNA, 433 nt
Filed under: uncultured bacterium
Lineage: Bacteria
Description: partial 16S ribosomal RNA
Rfam family: Bacterial small subunit ribosomal RNA
Source: RNAcentral
AACGAACGCUGGCGGCAGGCUUAACACAUGCCAGUCGAACGCACCUUUCGGGGUGAGUGGCAGACGGGUGAGUAACGCGUGGGAAUCUACCCUUCUCUACGGGAUAGCUCCGGGAAACUGGAAUUAAUACCGUAUACGUCCUGAGGGAGAAAGAUUUAUCGGGGAAGGAUGAGCCCGCGUUGGAAUAGCUAGUUGGUGGGGUAAAGGCCUACCAAGGCGACGAUCCAUAGCUGGUCUAAGAGGAUGAUCAGCCACAUUGGGACUGAGACACGGCCCAAACUCCUACGGGAGGCAGCAGUGGGGAAUAUUGGACAAUGGGCGCAAGCCUGAUCCAGCCAUGCCGCGUGAGUGAUGAAGGCCCUAGGGUUGUAAAGCUCUUUCAGUGGGGACGAUAAUGACGGUACCCACAGAAGAAGCCCCGGCUAACUUCGUG